RNAcentral lists this ribosomal RNA (1508 nucleotides) under Helicobacter pylori. RNAcentral describes it as "bacterial SSU rRNA". It matches the Rfam family "Bacterial small subunit ribosomal RNA". The record is from RNAcentral. Lineage: Bacteria; Pseudomonadati; Campylobacterota; Epsilonproteobacteria; Campylobacterales; Helicobacteraceae.
UUUAUGGAGAGUUUGAUCCUGGCUCAGAGUGAACGCUGGCGGCGUGCCUAAUACAUGCAAGUCGAACGAUGAAGCUUCUAGCUUGCUAGAAGUGGAUUAGUGGCGCACGGGUGAGUAACGCAUAGGUCAUGUGCCUCUUAGUUUGGGAUAGCCAUUGGAAACGAUGAUUAAUACCAGAUACUCCCUACGGGGGAAAGAUUUAUCGCUAAGAGAUCAGCCUAUGUCCUAUCAGCUUGUUGGUAAGGUAAUGGCUUACCAAGGCUAUGACGGGUAUCCGGCCUGAGAGGGUGAACGGACACACUGGAACUGAGACACGGUCCAGACUCCUACGGGAGGCAGCAGUAGGGAAUAUUGCUCAAUGGGGGAAACCCUGAAGCAGCAACGCCGCGUGGAGGAUGAAGGUUUUAGGAUUGUAAACUCCUUUUGUUAGAGAAGAUAAUGACGGUAUCUAACGAAUAAGCACCGGCUAACUCCGUGCCAGCAGCCGCGGUAAUACGGAGGGUGCAAGCGUUACUCGGAAUCACUGGGCGUAAAGAGCGCGUAGGCGGGAUAGUCAGUCAGGUGUGAAAUCCUAUGGCUUAACCAUAGAACUGCAUUUGAAACUACUAUUCUAGAGUGUGGGAGAGGUAGGUGGAAUUCUUGGUGUAGGGGUAAAAUCCGUAGAGAUCAAGAGGAAUACUCAUUGCGAAGGCGACCUGCUGGAACAUUACUGACGCUGAUUGCGCGAAAGCGUGGGGAGCAAACAGGAUUAGAUACCCUGGUAGUCCACGCCCUAAACGAUGGAUGCUAGUUGUUGGAGGGCUUAGUCUCUCCAGUAAUGCAGCUAACGCAUUAAGCAUCCCGCCUGGGGAGUACGGUCGCAAGAUUAAAACUCAAAGGAAUAGACGGGGACCCGCACAAGCGGUGGAGCAUGUGGUUUAAUUCGAAGAUACACGAAGAACCUUACCUAGGCUUGACAUUGAGAGAAUCCGCUAGAAAUAGUGGAGUGUCUAGCUUGCUAGACCUUGAAAACAGGUGCUGCACGGCUGUCGUCAGCUCGUGUCGUGAGAUGUUGGGUUAAGUCCCGCAACGAGCGCAACCCCCUUUCUUAGUUGCUAACAGGUCAUGCUGAGAACUCUAAGGAUACUGCCUCCGUAAGGAGGAGGAAGGUGGGGACGACGUCAAGUCAUCAUGGCCCUUACGCCUAGGGCUACACACGUGCUACAAUGGGGUGCACAAAGAGAAGCAAUACUGCGAAGUGGAGCCAAUCUUCAAAACGCCUCUCAGUUCGGAUUGUAGGCUGCAACUCGCCUGCAUGAAGCUGGAAUCGCUAGUAAUCGCAAAUCAGCCAUGUUGCGGUGAAUACGUUCCCGGGUCUUGUACUCACCGCCCGUCACACCAUGGGAGUUGUGUUUGCCUUAAGUCAGGAUGCUAAAUUGGCUACUGCCCACGGCACACACAGCGACUGGGGUGAAGUCGUAACAAGGUAACCGUAGGUGAACCUGCGGUUGGAUCACCUCCUUUCUAGA